AGAAAAGACACAGAAGAAGGUUAAAAGUGGAAGAUGUUGCACACUAGUGCUUUGCCCCUGGCAUCGUUCUCAAGCAGCUGAUCAGGACUGGAAAGGAAAUGUAACCUACUAAAAAGGAGCAAGGUGUUUCACAGACAUACGGCACAAUAGUCUGUACCCCAAAAUGCUUUUCACAGAAAAAGAAAAACAGAUGGAGAAUAGGUGGAGAAAGUUUGAAAUGCAUCUUCUAAGAUGUAAAGCAGUGAAGAUGACUAAUAUGAGAAUAUGGCAUUUCACUGAAAACCUAAUGAAGGCUUCUGAAAACUACAGUAUCUCAUCACCACGCUGACUACAUUGACUGCAUUAUAGUCAAUACCAUAUUGACUGCAAGAGUAUAAAGUAUUCCCUCUGUCCUGAUGAAAGUAACUUAACUGGGCUUUCUGGCCCAAAAUUGAUGCAUAAAAGAGUAUAUUUUUCCUGUUUCAUGAAUUUUGUAUAACUUAUUCUUGACAAUUUCUGUAGUAAUUACAUCCUGUACCCUUGACCAAUGUAAACUUUAUUUUUGCUUCAGAUUUUUAGGGCCUUUUGAGAAUGAUCAUUAAAGUAAUAGCAAUAUUUUUUUAAUGUAUAAUUUAUCAGCAGAGCCCCAAAUUAAUGCCUGCAUUGCAUGGGUUUCUAGCUCAAAAGACUCUAGAGGAAACAAUUACUUUUAGAAAGAUUAGAUUACCUCACUUAUCAGGUAUGCUUAAAUUAAAACAUCCUAUUUAUUUAAAA
This is a long non-coding RNA of Alligator sinensis (Chinese alligator), 753 nucleotides long. RefSeq lists it as uncharacterized. The transcript has 3 exons. The record is from RefSeq and is a predicted model, not a curated record. Lineage: Eukaryota; Metazoa; Chordata; Crocodylia; Alligatoridae.